Molecule: ribosomal RNA, 460 nt
Filed under: uncultured bacterium
Lineage: Bacteria
Description: partial 16S ribosomal RNA
Rfam family: Bacterial small subunit ribosomal RNA
Source: RNAcentral
CCUACGGGUGGCAGCAGUGAGGAAUAUUCGUCAAUGAGCGCGAGCCUGAACCAGCCAAGUAGCGUGAAGGAUGACUGCCCUACGGGUUGUAAACUUCUUUUAUAAAGGAAUAAAGUGAGGCACGUGUGCCUUUUUGUAUGUACCAUAUGAAUAAGGAUCGGCUAACUCCGUGCCAGCAGCCGCGGUAAUACGGAGGAUCCGAGCGUUGUCCGGUUUUAUUGGGUUUAAAGGGAGCGUAGGUGGAUUGGUAAGUCAGUUGUGAAAGUCUGCGGCUCAACCGUAAAAUUGCAGUUGAUACUGGCAGUCUUGAGUACAGUAGAGGUAGGCGGAAUUCGAGGUGUAGCGGUGAAAUGCGUAGAUAUCACGAAGAACUCCGAUUGCGAAGGCAGUUCACUGGACUGCAACUGACACUGAGGCUCGAAAGUGUGGGGAUCAAACAGGAUUAGAUACCCGUGUAGUC